UACGGGGGAUGCAAGCGUUAUCCGGAUUUAUUAGGUUUAAAGGGUGUGUAGGCUGAUUUAUAAGUCAGUGGUGAAAUACUCUUGCUAAACAAGAGCACCGCCAAUGAUACUGUAGGUCUUGAAUGUAGAUGAAGUGGGCGGAAUGUGUAAUGUAGCGGUGAAAUGCAUAGAUAUUACACAGAACACCAAUUGCGAAGGCAGCUCACUAAACUAAAAUUGACGCUGAGACACGAAAGCGUGGGUAGCGAACAGG
RNAcentral lists this ribosomal RNA (253 nucleotides) under uncultured bacterium. RNAcentral describes it as "partial 16S ribosomal RNA". It matches the Rfam family "Bacterial small subunit ribosomal RNA", at positions 524 to 776 of the family's 1533-position model. The record is from RNAcentral.